Molecule: RNA transcript, 3904 nt
Organism: Brassica napus (rape)
Lineage: Eukaryota; Viridiplantae; Streptophyta; Magnoliopsida; Brassicales; Brassicaceae
Exons: 4
Source: RefSeq, a predicted model, not a curated record
UUAUUUUACUUUUAAAUAGUCCAAAUAAAUAUUUAAAGAUUUAUCUUUUCAUCUAUUUAUUUCAUUAAUCAUCUACGAAUGUGUCUUUUUUCUUAAUUGUUCAAUUUUUAUACUAUUCUUUUAAGAAAUCUAAAAAAUAGCAUCUACUACUUAAUGAACCAACUUUUACAAAUUAAUUUUAGUAAAAAUAUAAUUUAUACUACCGAACUAACACAACUUUACGUUUUGGAAUAUGACUUAUCCUUUUUCAUUUACAAAUAUUCAUUCCUAACUAUAACUAUGUUUUUUCCUAAUUCUAAGCAUUCUAACUAUACCAUCUAUCUAUCUAUAUUAAUAAAGUUGGAUUAUGCUCUCUCCUCAUGCGUCUACGUCAGCAAGGACAUAUGGGCAAAACUAGACAUGCUGCAUACAUCAAAUAAAAAAACAAUUGCCAGGAACAUAAGAAGUCAAAAACAGAAACAUCCAAUGAAACAAUAAAAUCUAAAUGUUUAGCCUUUCCUAUUUAAUCAGAAACAACAUAAUCUGAAGCAAGGGAAUCACCCUGAAUAAACGUCUUUGUGAAUCACAUAGACAUAUGGCAAAACAAGAGGUGCACACAUAGACAUAUGGGCAAAACUGGACAUGUGGCAUCGUACAGCCUAGAUAUAAACCUAAUUUACAAUGUUGGCCAUGAGGAUAAUGCAGAGGGUGUUGUAAGCUAGCUUAUUGCAAACAGUUGAUCAUUCAUCCUUGCAAAUUCUAAACAUGUUAUCCUUAUUGUCUAUGUGUGCUAGGUACCGUGUCUAGAAGGCAUUGUUGGCAGCACUGUGACCUUCCAAUUAAAGCUCUCUCCAUUCAACUUCACUUCCAGACAUCAUAGACUCACUAUCUCUCGUAUUUUCGAAAGCCACCAGCGGCCCCCUACAUUUGUUUGAGAUCACGUAAGUUUGAAUUCUAUUGUAAAAAAUGUGUCCAACAUUUUCAUGUUCUUGACUGUUAUUUGCAAUUUCUAAUGGACAGCGUGGUGAUGAGCACCCUGGUGAUGACAUGCUUGGUUGUGGCACUUUGAAAAAGACUCCUCUAGGUUUGAACAGUCCUCACCUUAACCAAAGUGGCUGCAAUGGUGAUUCAAAUGUUAAGGGCAAGAGAGCAGCAAGAGAUGUUUCAUGUGAGACCCUUGACAUUGACAAUAAUACUGGAGAAGACGAACUAGCUAACGAGGAUAGGCCUUCCGACAAGAGAAUGCAAAAACUAAAAUUCCAAGCACCCGAGUGAAUGUUCACACGAUACUGACACAAGCUAUCUGCAUUUUUUUGUCAACGACACAAGCUAUCUGCAUUGUUUGCUUUUUUGUAAUGUUAUAAAAUUCAAAAGCUAAGAAUUCUUCUCAUUCUAAUAUUAUGUUUUUAAUGUUUUAAUGGUUUUUAUAUUUCUCUGGGAACUGUUCCUCUGAAUUUAAUGCUUAAAUAACUUCUAUUGCGUACUCAACCCUCUAUCUUUAUAUGGUGAUUAAAAUCUACUCAUGAUAAUUACUUUCUUAAUUAGGUUUAUAUCUAGGCCGAGAAUAGGAGGCGGUAAAAAAGGUGUAUGACACACAAUUGGGGACCGCCCACUAUUUUGCUCCAUUCACAGAUUCAACAACAUAUUUUAAAAAAGGUAAGAGAUACACACGUGGAUGAAAAAUUGUUUGUCCUUUAGCGAAAAAGAUGGGAGCACCGCUUUUAUCACGUAAAUGGAGUAAUUCAAGUGGAUCAUCUAUCUAUUCACACAAACCAAGGGAAAAAAAAUAUAUAUCACGAAAAUAUAAACAAUAUAUGUCUAUAAAUAGAAUACUUGUCUUCUUAUUAUACUCACAACUGAAUCAAAGCUUUUAUAUUUCAAGCAAUACGCUUAGCUAUUUUUACUUUGGUCCAGAACAUCAGCAGAAGACUUCUUUCCAGCAUCAACAUUUUUUAAAAUCCAAAUUUUAUUAAUUUUCCUGAGAAAUUUGUGAGAACAUCAGCACAAGACUUCCUUCUAUCAUCAGCAUCUAUUAAAAUCCAAAACUUUAUUAAUUUUCCUGAGAAAUUAGUGAGGUAUGGAAUCUAAUCGUUGGCAAAGCUUAAAUUCUCAAAGGCAAGCAGACAUCAAUCUUCCUAACGAAACAUCAGCACGGAUGAUGAUUUUGCUGAAAUAAUGGGACAAACACAUGUUGGCAACACCGAAGCGGAGACGGAUACUAAUGAGAUGAAAGCACCAGAUAUAGCUGAUGGAGAUUUAAUGGCGAAUAUCAGAGAACAAAUUGCAAAUGCAUUAUGGGCCAAUAAAAAUAUUUUGUAAUAUUUUUUACUAAUGUUUUUAUUUGAAUUUAUGUUAUGUUUUUGUUUCAUAAAAUAUUAUGUAUUUGUUGCAUUUGUUUUUUAAAAAAAAUUGUAACUGAAAAUGAAAUAAAAAGUUUCUAUUUUAUAGAAUGAAUUAUGAAAUUAUAAUCUGAACCAUCUUUUAUCCGCUUUCACCAUUCAAACAAAUAUUUCAGACCGUUAGAUCCGCUCUUGUUCUGCUAGAUCUGCUCGAUCCGCAACGCUUGAUCCGCUUUCUCCAUUUGGAACCCUAACCAAUAUGAGGUGAAUGUUAAUUACGACGCCACAUGAAGCACAAGUGAAGUUUAAGUUCCUUAUUGCAAGAAAUCUUCUGCAACUAAAUAAGAUGACUGAACCUAUUUCAUAGCUAAUUAAAUAGUAUUAAUUCAAAACACCACCAUAAUCAGAGGUGAGAGAGUACAAGAAAUUAUGAUUAACUAACAUCAGAAACUAAAAACAUGACCACUCACUUAACCCUUCACGAUACCAAUCACAAGUACCGCUCUCUAACCUACACCUUAAAAACACAACAGUUCAAACAGUACUCAAUAAUAUAAACCAUCCUAUUACAUUGACCAACAUCUUACCCGAAUAAAACACAAACAUUUACAUUUUUUCUUCAGGAGCAUCAACUUUAUGUUAUAUUUAAAUUUCAACUGAAUUUAAUUUGUUAUGAUUAUCAUCAACUUUUUAUUCUACGAAUCAAUCAGUCACAACCACUUAUGAUAUUCCACAUUAACCUAAGAAACUUUAAAACAGAGUAAUAUACUACAAUCGCUAACCACUAUCAAAUAGAUCAGAAAAAUUCAUUCUCUUUCAACAUAUAUGCAACUUCAUAUUUUUGAACAUAUUUUUGUCACUAAAACCAUAAAAAAAUUGUAAAUUCAUUCAUUUGAACAAAAAAAUUAUAAAUUCAUUUAAGAAUAAAAUAUAUGAAUCCGGCGCGAAAGACCACUAGUGUAAUCAUAUUUGGACUGUACAUACAUUUUUAAAUAGUUUCAACUCUCAAGCAAAUCAUUACCAAGGAAGAUGUUUUAACUUUAUAAAUUACAAUAUAAAUUGAAUAAAUGAUUAGAUGUAUAUCAUAUUUGGUAUUAAUAUAUUUGUAGUUUUAUUACAGCUAAUUUAUGAACAAUAUAUAGAUUUUUAAUAUUAUCAAUAAAUGAAUAUAGUUGUAUGUAAGAUAGUUUUACAACACAUGUAUCCAAAUGCAAUUAUAUUAAAUGUGGCAUAUUUUUGGGUGUUUUUCAAAACCAACCGACUUUUUCAAGUCAAACCCAAAACCAAUCCUUUUUUUUUGUCCAUACUAUUCAUCAUUAAAAUUUCUAUAUUAUCCCUAUGUUUUGAAUUAUUUACAAAAUUGCCAUUUUUAUUUAAUUUUUUAUUAAUUUCGAAAUUAGCAAAAGACCAAAUACACCCUAACCAUUAUUCUUAUUUACAAAAAUGUCAUCAUCAUCAAUUUUUCCAACCACCAUGAACCACCAUUUUUGAGCUCUAAAGCUCUAGAAUUCAAUUUUCAACCACUUUUUUCUCACUCUAACCCAAAAAACUUCAUUUCCUCUUAUCUCCUCUACAUUUCCAUCUAA